RNAcentral lists this ribosomal RNA (471 nucleotides) under Botrytis cinerea. Its description in RNAcentral is "eukaryotic LSU rRNA". The stretch from base 119 to 272 matches the Rfam family "5.8S ribosomal RNA". Lineage: Eukaryota; Fungi; Ascomycota; Leotiomycetes; Helotiales; Sclerotiniaceae. The record is from RNAcentral.
CCACCCUUGUGUAUUAUUACUUUGUUGCUUUGGCGAGCUGCCUUCGGGCCUUGUAUGCUCGCCAGAGAAUACCAAAACUCUUUUUAUUAAUGUCGUCUGAGUACUAUAUAAUAGUUAAAACUUUCAACAACGGAUCUCUUGGUUCUGGCAUCGAUGAAGAACGCAGCGAAAUGCGAUAAGUAAUGUGAAUUGCAGAAUUCAGUGAAUCAUCGAAUCUUUGAACGCACAUUGCGCCCCUUGGUAUUCCGGGGGGCAUGCCUGUUCGAGCGUCAUUUCAACCCUCAAGCUUAGCUUGGUAUUGAGUCUAUGUCAGUAAUGGCAGGCUCUAAAAUCAGUGGCGGCGCCGCUGGGUCCUGAACGUAGUAAUAUCUCUCGUUACAGGUUCUCGGUGUGCUUCUGCCAAAACCCAAAUUUUUCUAUGGUUGACCUCGGAUCAGGUAGGGAUACCCGCUGAACUUAAGCAUAUCAAUA